UUCAAACAACAGAGUUCCAUUCUUCAGAAGACAGAGACUACCAUAAAUAACAAAGUAUCUCAGUAUGCCCCACCCCUACCCUGUUUUCCUCCACAGACGUAUUUAACACCUCAGCUAGUCUGUUACACAAUACCUCCUCAGAGUGCUGAGUGAAGACAUGAGUGAACACAAUACACUAUUUGCUCAUGGCACCUAAGCCUCUCCAGUCUUGAGGCCCACCCCUCUCCCUUCUCUGGUAAGAAGAGAGGUGACUCAUCUCUGCAGCUCUUUUGGAUGCAGAAGUCUGACUCUCUCCGGCUCUAUAGCUACCUUCUGGGUUGUCCCACUCCUACCGAGACAGCCAUAGAUCCCACUAGGCCAGUUAAACCUUAGGGUCAAACAUAAUAGCUUUAGGAUUUAACCAGGUAGACAUAGUUGGAAAAUUUUCCAUUUUGAGAUCCAGGAAAAGAGGUUGAAGUCAGUGGGGUGCCAGAAACUGUUACCUAGGUGGCCUUGGAUCCUGUUUGUGACCAAGCUUGACACAGCAGACUCAGGGCAUCUGAUUUCACCCCAUCUCUUCUUCCUUGAUUACUUCCUCAGUUGUGAGAAUUCAGGUGGGCCCUCUGGUCUCUGAAGAAGCAUGAUGUUUUGGAAGUGACUCCUGCCCUGACUGCUCUAGGUUGACCUCUUGGCAGUCCCAAUGACACUGACCUGCAGUGUGGAACUGGCUUACAUCAGCAUGUUAUUACUAAUUAUUGAGAUGAGUUAGAGUUCUACAGGCUAAAAAAAGAUGUCACUCCCCGAACUGACGGCGAUUUAGGCUCAUCAACUCUGCAGACAUGAAUCCCAGGACAAAUUUAUUGUUUUUUUAAAAAAUUUCUUAGCAUACAAUUAUUUACAUGUUCCUUAUUUUUUAUUUUUCAUUUUAUUUUUAUAUUCCUCCCUUUCACUUUUUA
Long non-coding RNA from Cervus elaphus (red deer), 935 nucleotides. RefSeq lists it as uncharacterized. The record is from RefSeq and is a predicted model, not a curated record. The transcript has 4 exons. Lineage: Eukaryota; Metazoa; Chordata; Mammalia; Artiodactyla; Cervidae.